Molecule: ribosomal RNA, 247 nt
Filed under: uncultured bacterium
Lineage: Bacteria
Description: partial 16S ribosomal RNA
Rfam family: Bacterial small subunit ribosomal RNA
Source: RNAcentral
AUACGGAGGAUCCAAGCGUUAUCCGGAUUUAUUGGGUUUAAAGGGUGCGUAGGCGGACCUUUAAGUCAGCGGUGAAAGUUCCCGGCUCAACCGGGGAAUUGCCGUUGAAACUAUUGGUCUUGAGUGUAGAUGAGGUGGGCGGAAUUCGUAGUGUAGCGGUGAAAUGCUUAGAUAUUACGAAGAACUCCAAUUGCGUAGGCAGCUCACUAGGCUACAACUGACGCUGAGGCACGAAGGUGCGGGGAUC